RNAcentral lists this ribosomal RNA (253 nucleotides) under uncultured bacterium. RNAcentral's name for it is "partial 16S ribosomal RNA". It matches the Rfam family "Bacterial small subunit ribosomal RNA", at positions 524 to 776 of the family's 1533-position model. The record is from RNAcentral.
GACGAACCGUGCGAACGUUGUUCGGAAUCACUGGGCUUAAAGGGCGCGUAGGCGGCGCAUCAAGUCCGGGGUGAAAGCCCCCAGCUCAACUGGGGAAGUGCCUCGGAUACUGGUGCGCUCGAGGGAGGUAGGGGCGGAUGGAACUUCCGGUGGAGCGGUGAAAUGCGUUGAUAUCGGAAGGAACGCCGGUGGCGAAAGCGAUCCGCUGGCCCUCUUCUGACGCUGAGGCGCGAAAGCCAGGGGAGCAAACGGG